This 1422-nucleotide long non-coding RNA is filed under the name Junco hyemalis (dark-eyed junco). RNAcentral's name for it is "lncRNA (ENSJHYG00000000897.1)". The record is from RNAcentral. Lineage: Eukaryota; Metazoa; Chordata; Aves; Passeriformes; Passerellidae.
AUGACAAUCUGGUCCUUCCUCAGCAGCUGCCAGAGGGGAGCAGGGAGGGCUGAGCUGGCUGGGAAAGCAGAGAGUCAGGGCAGCCAGCAGAGCCCCUGGGGCAUGGAGACAGCCCAGCAAUGGCAGCACUGCAGCUGCUCUGCCUGCUCAGGGUGCUGCCUGUUCCCCAAAUCCAGCCCUGCCAGCACAGACAGGACUCCCAGGAGCCACAGAACCAGCAGGAGGGUUGGCACAGUGGCUGGGCAGGGUGGCUGGCUCCCAGCCUGGCUGGUUGUUACGGGAAGGCGAUAUUUUUAUGUGGGCAAUGAGAACUAAAGGAAACAAUUAAAACUAAAUAGGCUGGAACCGAGCAAUUUUUCAGCUUUCCACUGAGAAGAAAAAGAGUUCCUUUGUGAACAGUGAAAUCCUCCUGGCAAGCUGUAGGAUCCCACCUGAUGAAGCAAAAGCUGCACCAUUACACUGCAGAAGGGAUCCCAGUGGAAAACCCACAGGGGUGGUGUCCCUUGCUGCCCUUAGAACCAGGCCCCCAGCACAAGGCAGCCAUGCCCUGGGCAGGGGAGGCUGGGGGUGCUUUGGGGACAAGGCUGGUGCUGUCCUACCUAUCACCAACCCACUGGUCAGUGCUGAGGCUACUCCUCCUUCCAAGUGACACCCACUGGAGGAGUCAUGUCUACCCUGUAGCUUGCAUCAGUCAGGGUGCUGAGAGGGGCUCCAGCUUGUAGCCUUUCUUUGCCAAGGUCCUGGCAGCUCUCACAUGUCCUGCUUGUCCUCACCUCCUUUUGGCAGGUGAAGAUCUCUGCUGCUGCAGCCUCCGUGCAAGGCUGGAGGAGGGUUCAGUCACUGAGCUGAAAGUGCCCCGUGGUUCUGCUGCAGAUUCUCCAUGUGAGCACGGCUCUGGGGACUUUGCAGGGCCCAAAAGGGCUUGGGAGGAUUUGGGGGAAGAAAUCCACCCACCAGGGCCAUGCAGCAUGAGGAUGGACUCUCUGCAGUGCCACCCGGUGCAGCUCCAUGCACUGUCACCUGGAACCAUACAUAAAUAAGGAUUUUUUUUCCUUUGAUCAGUCUGGGUUAAUUUGAUGAGCAGAGACAGACUCAACUUUCAUGCAAUAACUGUUUUCUUCCCUCCUGCCCCAGAUUUGCUUCCCUUUUUUAGCUCAGGCCAAUGCUGCAAUAGAAAACAUAGGGCAGGUGUCGAGAGCCCCUUGACAGCAAUUCCCUAAAUUCUCCUAAAUUCCUCCUGCCCAGGAGCUGUGGCAAAAGUUUGAGUUUCACACCAAUUCAAUCCUAACUGAAUGCCCUGAAUUCUUCAGUUGUGUCUGGCUUUUAGGUCUGGCAUCCUUGAAGAACAAUAUCCAUUUAAAUUGCUGAUUUGGGCUUGCUCAUUUAAUUUCAUCUUAAUAAAGAUUUUAUGUGGUUUUGACA